GGAGAAUAUUAGAAAUUCUUAAUGUUCCAUUCCAUCCCCAGCAAUUCCAGCCAAGGAUGGCUGGAAAGGCUUUCACCCGCCACGGAUGGCGGAUUGAAAGCCGUUUGCGUCAGGAACUAUUAUCCCACCCAUGGAACAUUUAGAAUUUCUUAUCUUCGCAA
This 161-nucleotide non-coding RNA is filed under the name pig gut metagenome. The record is from RNAcentral.